This 1257-nucleotide ribosomal RNA is filed under the name metagenome. RNAcentral describes it as "bacterial LSU rRNA". It matches the Rfam family "Bacterial large subunit ribosomal RNA", at positions 1632 to 2881 of the family's 2925-position model. The record is from RNAcentral.
UUAUAUACGACCGUACCGCAAACCGACACUGGUGCGCGAGAUGAGUAUUCUAAGGCGCUUGAGAGAACUCAGGAGAAGGAACUCGGCAAAUUGACACCGUAACUUCGGAAGAAGGUGUGCCCUAUUAGUGAGUAGUGAACAACGAAGCAUGAAUGGGUUGCAAAAAAUCGGUGGCUGCGACUGUUUAUUAAAAACACAGCACUCUGCAAACACGAAAGUGGACGUAUAGGGUGUGACGCCUGCCCGGUGCUGGAAGAUUAAAUGAUGGGGUGCAAGCUCUUGAUUGAAGUCCCAGUAAACGGCGGCCGUAACGAUAACGGUCCUAAGGUAGCGAAAUUCCUUGUCGGGUAAGUUCCGACCUGCACGAAUGGCGUAACGAUGGCCACACUGUCUCCUCCUGAGACUCAGCGAAGUUGAAAUGUUUGUGAUGAUGCAAUCUCCCCGCGGAAAGACGGAAAGACCCCAUGAACCUUUACUGUAGCUUUGUGUUGGACUUUGAACAGAUCUGUGUAGGAUAGGUGGGAGGCUUUGAAGCAGGGUCGCUAGAUCUUGUGGAGCCAACGUUGAAAUACCACCCUGGUGUGUUUGAGGUUCUAACCUAGGUCCAUUAUCUGGAUCGGGGACAGUGCAUGGUAGGCAGUUUGACUGGGGCGGUCUCCUCCCAAAGCGUAACGGAGGAGUUCGAAGGUACGCUAGUUACGGUCGGACAUCGUGACGAUAGUGCAAUGGCAUAAGCGUGCUUAACUGCGAGACUGACAAGUCGAGCAGAUGCGAAAGCAGGACAUAGUGAUCCGGUGGUUCUGUAUGGAAGGGCCAUCGCUCAACGGAUAAAAGGUACUCUGGGGAUAACAGGCUGAUACCGCCCAAGGGUUCAUAUCGACGGCGGUGUUUGGCACCUCGAUGUCGGCUCAUCUCAUCCUGGGGCUGUAGCCGGUCCCAAGGGUAUGGCUGUUCGCCAUUUAAAGAGGUACGUGAGCUGGGUUUAAAACGUCGUGAGACAGUUUGGUCCCUAUCUUCCGUGGGCGCUGCAGAUUUGAGGAAGCCUGCUCCUAGUACGAGAGGACCGGAGUGGACACACCUCUGGUGUAUCGGUUGUCACGCCAGUGGCAUUGCCGAGUAGCUAAGUGUGGAAGAGAUAACCGCUGAAAGCAUCUAAGCGGGAAACUCGUUUCAAGAUGAGAUCUGCCGGGGCCUUGAGCCCCCUAAAGAGUCGUUCAAGACCAGGACGUUGAUAGGUCAGGUGUGGAAGCCAAAAAA